GAACUGGGGGGAAAAACUAUUUGACCAAAUAGAGGGAGGAAGAAAACUUAGAAGACUGGAUGCACUCCACGAAGUACUCUCUAUUCUUCCAGCGACCACCAACUCCGUUCACAAAAGGGUUCAGCAAACUGAAAUGCCCAAGCUCAUCCCACAUUGAAAGACUUCUCAGAGCAGAGGGCUCCUUCUGGGAUGAAGUGAGGAGCAAAGAAAUAAAACCGGAAAUUCGGAGGGGAAAUCCAACAAAAGCCAAAGUCCACCUUGCAGGUCUUCCCCUGUACCUCCCCACUUGGGUUAUAAUCAGAGUGCUGCUCUCAGCUCCUUGCUCCUUUCCUGGCUCAAGCCUUCUUCAACUGGAUCACUGGCAAGAGCUUCACCUACUGGACCUCCUAGGGUCGUUUCUUAAAAUGGAAGCAGACGUAAAUAUGCUGAAAUGUUUUCCUCUCUCCCCAAUAUCAAAGAAGAAAAGUCAAAUGACUCAGUGGCUUCUCCCAACAUUGUGCUUCCAAGUCCUGAGAUGUUGGCUCCAGCUGUAUGCUGAGCACUGGGCUGUGUGCUCAGAGAGAGCAGAGACAGGACAGCAUCCCUGAGAGCAGAGUCUACGAUGAAGACUGACCGUCACACCAAACCCUCUGCAGUGGCUGCCACACAGGGCAGACAGGAGAGGCAUGUCCACCUAGGAUGUGGGAGUGACACCGAAGCUGGGACCUGAGAUGACCAGAAAAUGAUCAAAGGACAGGGUUUCGUGAAGACUUUGAUCUUGGGAACUGACUUGAGCAAUCUCCAAUCAGACAGCGACAAUCACAAGUUCCCCUGCGACUCAGGGGUCAUGAACUUCGGGGACUUCACAUUUUCACACUGUCCAGCAAAUAUUGUUAGAAGAAUGAUCUUUUCAAAAAAAAAAAAAAAAACAGAAUGGGAGACCAAUAGAAGUGGAAACAGACCAGGGUUUCCCCAGAGAAUAAAACCAGGGAAGUCAAUCCUCCAUUGGACUGCUGUGUUUGGAUUCUAUCUUUUAUUAGAUUUUAGUUAAUACUUUGUUUUUAAAAACUGAGGAAAAAUGAACAAAACCAAAAACUUUUAAAAAAAGAAUGGGUAUGUAAUACACAUAUAAUAUAUAUGCACACAUAUAUGUGAACAUGUAUGUAUGUGCAUUCUAUAUACAUAUACCUGUGUCUAGAGAGAAGAGUUAUAGACAAAUUAUAUUCAGAAGUACAAAAAAGCCAUUACGUUCAUGGAAUACUCUUUUUUCAUGUUGAGCAUUGCUUAGUAAGUCAUUUUUUCUGU
This 1284-nucleotide long non-coding RNA is filed under the name Ictidomys tridecemlineatus (thirteen-lined ground squirrel). Its description in RNAcentral is "lncRNA (ENSSTOG00000034447.1)". The record is from RNAcentral. Lineage: Eukaryota; Metazoa; Chordata; Mammalia; Rodentia; Sciuridae.